CCUCACAUUCGAAAACAUUCUUAGUUUACAUUUUAUGUUCAUUCUUUUCUAAUUUUGUUUUCGUAUCUUUUUUAUAUCCCUCCCACAAGGAUUUCACUGGUUUCCCCUUUGCUAUCUCGCUUCUUCCACCUUAGAGCAAGGUUACGUAAUUCUGCUGGGGGUACGCAAAGAUCCAUAGGAAUAUAAUGCUCCUUGCGGAGGGCUUCCUGUUAUCCUCCUUGGCUUGAAUAUCUCGAGCAAGUCUCGAACGAGCUCCGCCUUCACUCAUUAACCCUACAGUAAUCAAUAUCAAAUCAACCCCAUGUCUAGGAUACCUGGCAUGAUAUGAUAUGCAAGACUCUGAGAGGUGUUGUGAGUAGAUAAAUCCAACACUUGAGAGCCUCAUUAUACCCGAUAGCGCUGUUCAUUUCUCCUACUGCGAUGUCAUAGCUAUUGUUCCAUGCACCGAAUCAUUUAAAAAACUGGUUAGGCUAGGCGCAUCAUACGAGAGAAGCCACGGAAACAGUCUGGGGCUGCGCUUGGAUCUCUCCAUGUCAGCUUGAGCAUUUACACCGUAGCACCGCCCAUGCUUCAGCUACGUCGAUGAUCGGCUGCUACAAGCGACUAGUAUCCCUGGAUUUCAACCGACACAAAAACCGAGCAUAUUUCAUUACUAGAAAUUAAGAU
This 666-nucleotide small RNA is filed under the name Histoplasma ohiense. RNAcentral describes it as "hypothetical lncRNA". The record is from RNAcentral. Lineage: Eukaryota; Fungi; Ascomycota; Eurotiomycetes; Onygenales; Ajellomycetaceae.